CUCUUACCUACUCUGGAGUGCAGCGGUGCAAUCAAGGCUCACUGCAGUCUUAACCUCCUGGGUUCAGAUGAUCUGCUCAUGUCAGUCUCUCAUGUAGCUGGGAACACAGCCAUAUGAAGAUGGGCUGGCUUCUGCUUCACCUUCUGCCAUGAGGGUAUUGAAUACUAUAUGCUUUAAUGUUAGAGGCUCACAAGAAUUCAGAAAUGACAUUAAGCCAUAAAGAACUCUGUAAAGUACUUUUAUAUACUGUCAUUGCACAAUCAGUUACCCUCAGAAAGGGGUAAAACUCACAAAAAGGCAACACUCCGUGAAGACUUCUCAGCCAUUGGUGUUCAUCUGGUUAUCGAGUGAUCAGCUGUUCGUUGACUCCCCAGGUUGGAAAGAAAAGAGCAGGGAGCAGUGAGUGGUGUGAUUGUUCUCAAUAGAACAUAGAAGAUGUCAUGACCCUAGGCUAAUAUAAUGAAGAAAUGCAUUAGAAUCAACAUUGUGUCUCACUAAAUCUUUCUUUAAAUGUGUAUGUUUGCUUCUCUUCCAUUUUGCAUCAUUUCUAUUUAAAUUCCUAACUGGUGUUUGAUUACUUAAAAAUGUUUAUUGUUAACACUCAUUUAUAGUCUAUCUUAAAAAGCAGCACUAUAGUAUGGAAAAAAGGAAAUUAAUUCAUGAGUUUAUGGGCUUUAGAAUUUAAUGGGCCUGCUAUAUGUUCUUGCUGUUUUACUAGCUUUGAACACAUUCUAAAUCUUUUUCUCGAGCUCUCAGUUUCAUCAUCUGUAAAUGGGUAAUUUAUUCCUGGAACCUCACACAAACUUAGAGAGGCACACGACCCAUGAGAAACAGUAUCACAUGCGAGCCUACAGGAAGGGGAGCCAGUCUGACAGCAGCUGAGUCCCACCUCUGCCAUUCACUAACUGUGUGCGCUGAGAAAAUUCACUCCAUCUGUGCCUCAGGUGUUUCGUCUGUAAAAUAGGUUUUUCAUAGGGCUUUGUGAAAGAGUAAAUGAUUCAAUACAUGUAAACUACUUAGAAUUGUGCCUGGCAUAAAGGACGGGUUCAGUAUAUCUUAGCAAUUAUCAUGAGCAGUUGAGUAUCUUGACUCCAGAAUUUUCAGUUUAGAUAUACUUACCUGAACUCAGGGAAAUGUCUUAAGUCUAAGGCCCUAAAACAUAGACACAUUGGUUUGCUAGCCUAUGGAAACCUAUUUCAGGCAGGAGUUGAAUUACCCAUGCACAGGCAUUACAAAUAAUAUCCACAUUUCUAACUCGAUGACGUAAGUUGUUACUCAUCCUGAAGAAGUGUCUGUUUGUGAGGGCCAAUACAUUACUGUGAGAGUCUUAAGUAAUCAAAACCAUAGGGGCUUGAGAGCUGGGUUCAGCAGUAAGGACCUCUUCACUUGAAAGUGUAAUUAUUUUAAUUUUUGAAGAGACUCUCCCUUUUUAGGACCUUCUUCAAAGAUGAAUUUCUUUUUUUUUCUUUCCUUUUUUACUUUUAAUUUUAUUAUAUUCAGUAUACCCUCACUGAUGAAUAGCCAUGCUGGGCAGACAACGUGAAAGGAGUGAACACCUCUGUUUGAAGUGGGUCUUGGGAAGUAAGAAGUGAGAGGCAAUUAAAUACAAAUUCUGUCAUCCUGCUUCUUUUGACACUUUACAUAUUUUGUAUAGAAUCUGCCACAUGCUGGGAGUUUACUGACUGCAUUAAAAGGCCACAAUCUCUUCCAUGUAGAACAUUUCCAUACCUGAGGUAUUUGUUACCAUCUGACUACUCCAUCUGGCAAAAGCAAUCCUCUUAAACACUGUCUCCUUGACCAAGCUAUUCAUGAUUACAUGAAAGAGAGGGUCAUCCAUACCAUCCCAUUAUGUUAAAAACAACUUCAUUUUUUGUUUUCAGGAUUUGUUUCCCUGUUAGGCCCAUUGUAAAACAAUGUUGAUUUUUUUUAAAUUUCAACUUUUAUUUUAGGUACAGGAGGUACAUGUCCAGAUUUGUUACAUGGAAAUAUUACAUGAUGCUGAGGUUUGGAGUCUAGACCCCAUUACCAAGUAGUAAGCAUAGUACCCAAUAGGUAGUUUUUGUUUAACCCCCACUCUACCUGCUAGUAGUUCACAGUGUCUGUAUUUUCCAUAUUUAUGUCCAUGUGUGCUCAAUGUUUAGAUUCCACUUAUAGGUAAGAACAUUAGGUGUUUGGUUUUCUGUUCCUGUGUUAAUUGUCUUAGGAUUUUGGCCUCCAGCUCCACCCAUAUUGCUGCAAAGGACAUUAUUUCAUCCUUUUUAUGGCUGCGUAAUAUUCUAUAGCAUAUAUUUUCCCUAUUUUCUCAGGUCACUGCAACCUUGAACUCCUGAGCUCAAACAAUCCUCUCAUCUCAGCCUCCUGAGUAGCUGGGGCCACAGGCAUGCACUACUGUGCCCAGGUAAUUUUUGCAUUUUUGGUAGAGACAGGGUUUUGUCAUGUUGCUUAGGCUGCUCUCAAACUCCUGGCUCAAGCAAUCCUCCUGCCUCAGCCUCCCA
Callithrix jacchus (white-tufted-ear marmoset) is the source of this 2495-nucleotide long non-coding RNA. RefSeq lists it as uncharacterized. Lineage: Eukaryota; Metazoa; Chordata; Mammalia; Primates; Cebidae. The record is from RefSeq and is a predicted model, not a curated record.